CAGGAGCAGAUGACUAACCAGCAUCUGGGAAAGACCACUUGGUCCUGCCAAAGGGUCUGAGCCAGGCCCUUUUGCUGCAGUCAUUCGUCACAACUUUCCUGCUAACGCUGCACCUGAUUUCCUUAAGCUCUCUGAAGUCAGCCGCUGACCCCUUCUCACCAGCUUUGUGUGGCUUCUGUGACACCUUCUUCCAAGGAACAGGCUCACUUCACAGUCUGUGGCCGGGUUGGUUCAGUCCAGCGACGCAGAGGUCGUGAUGCGACAUAACACAAAGUGAUACCUGGCUGCUGGAUUAUCCCACUCUCUGGUAUCUGCAUUGACUCAAGAGCCUCACAGCUUUAGGCCCCUCAGCCACCAGGAGUUCAGCUAUGCAAAUCUGCUGCAAGAAAAUGAGGUCUAUAAAUAAUAGACACCUUGGGCCUCCACGUCGGUGCAAGAUCCACCGUGACUGACUGAAACACUGUCUGCCAGAGGCUUGCAGGCUCUUGCCCCCCUCAAUCCACUGCCCUUUCCCUAGGAAGGACAGAGGUGCACAUCAGCAGAUGAACCUGCAUCUGAGUACUUCCAUGACAUGACCACCACCAGAGAGCAUUACCACCUCUGCGGACUACAGCAAGAGUAAAGCAACUCUCCUGCACUGCUGCUAAGAGUUUUGUUGAUGAGUUCCUAGGAAAUAUUGACCCAAAUAAAUUGGACUGGGAAGAAAACUGUUCAGAACAGUAGCAAGAGUGAAGAGGUGACACAUGAUUGCACCAUGACUUGAGAAAAAGACUGAAUCUUGAGGGCCUGUUGACUGCAGUGGGAGUUUGUUGGCCCACACUGCAGCUAAACAAAAUACCAGAAAUACAAGCUGUGGCACAGAUCAGAGCUCAGAUGAGACAGUCCUGUAACCAGUCUGAGAAGCGCUGGGCCCUCGCCAACCAGCUACUUGCAACACAUGAGGAACAAAGAGAAAUUUUACUUUGAACUGUGCUGUCCUAUAUCCAGAAGACCAGUUGCAUUUUCAUAUGCUGUGUAAAUAAUACACUUCUUUUAUCACCUUGUACCUAUUCCACACCGUGUGAAUAAAAAACCAGCUGCUUAUGCACUGUAGAGUACGUGGCAUUAUGGCAUCAGACCCCAUGCAAAGACAUGUCUGUAGCGUUGCACCAGAUGAUGGCAUUUGUCUUGUUGUAACAAAGCAGGAUCAACUCCUGCCCUGUCAACUGUGCAGUCCAGUAUGACACAGACAACCUGCAUUCAGUCCUCUGACUUCUUUGAACACAAAUAGUUUAUGAAAAGGAGAUUGUGGAACGGUUCUAAGAUUUGCCCACUUAAAACCAGCCUUGUGGAUCUGUGACUUAAUCCCUGCUUAUGAAGAUUUCUCAUCUAGAAGCAAAACCGUAAGUGUUGGGAAUGAUCUGAAGUCUGUCAUUUCAGAUGGUGAUGAUCACUCUUGGAAAAUCCAAUUAAUUAAAGUCUGUUCAGCUUGGAAAGUGAAAGGCUCAGGAUUGUUUGUUUAGAGGGAGCAGCAGAAUGAAUGUUUAAGGUAAGAUACGGGAGCAAGGUUUUGAUGGUAACUACAACGUAUGGCCACUGGGAGGAUGGCCACUCGGUCUGUUGUCCUGGGACCAGCAGAAAUCAUUCUCUGCAGACAAUGCAUCUCCUUAAGGCAGGUGCUGAUGGGGAAGAGGGACUGUGUUCAGAGGCACAGCCCUCCUGGCAGUGGCACUGAGUGUGGCCAUGCUCCAGGCUGAAAGCAGACGUGGAAUUAAUACCUCCUCCAUCCAAGUCUGUGGAGAGCUUUUUACUGGCGUCAGUGGCAACAGGAUCAGAGUAGAGUCUUAAGGCUCUUCCCCUGGAGCUUAGAGGAGUUUAAUGGAAUAACAUCUAAGUUGUAAUUAAUUGGCUUCUGCUUCUCCUGCAGGAAAGAGUUAAUGAAGACAAAGCUUGUCUGGCCAAGGGGCUGGUACAGCUCCAGUAGAGCUAUGAUUCACAGAUUGAAACUCCUGCCAAAGCACUGAGCAGGCUCCUCAUCCUCAGCUCCUCCUAUCCCAACAGGAAUAGUGCAAACGGGUCCGGCAUCAUGGAAGGAAAGGUUUGUCCCUUACAGCCCCUGCUCUUCCCACUCAGUUCAGUACUAUUUGUGUGCACAAGAAGUCACUGUCUGCGAUAGAAGACUUUACACAUUUAGCUGUGUUAUGUUGUGUCUAUGGUUUGGACACACACCCCCCCAGUAAUCUUAUGAGGGCUCUUUACAGGACUGAAGGAAGUAGAGGUUAAUAGAAUAAUUUAAAUGAGUAAGGAAAUGGCCAAAGGGAGGACAGAAACUAAUAGACUGCUGGGAAGCAGCACACAAGGAGAAGUUACUGGGUGAGUUGGUCAAAGAUGAGUCUUGGAACUGACCAAGUUUGGUAUUGUCAUCGAGCUUGGCUCAAAAAGAGGAGUGGAGAAAGGAAAUUUGUUGGUGGCAUCAUCCUUAUAAAACUGCCCACACUUAGUGACAUGCUGUCCUGGGCGUGCUCCUCUACUCCAAUUGCUCACCACUUCCCUCUCUCUGGAGAGAAUAAGACCAGUGAAGAGCCACCAGCAACAACACCUCUUCCUGCUGCUGAGUUUCAGCCUAUCCUGCCAGGCCUCCAUUCCUGGUGUGAGAAGAGCACAGGCAGGGAGGAGCAGAGAUGGGUAGUCUGGAGGCUGGUGCCUACUUGCUAUUCCUCAGAGGUGGAUUUCAUUAAAAAUGGAUGUUUUCCUUCCUUCUGAACUCCUGUCCUCUGCCUCAGUUAUCACAACAGGGCCAGUGAUCAGUCACAGUAAGUGCAAAGAUUAUGAUAGCAUGACAGUGCAGGCAGAAGAUAGGGAGGGCUCUUGGUCUUGACGAUGGGCUGGAUGAUACCACUUUGAAUCCAGACUAGCAAAGCAUAAAUACAUGGAUUAGCACCAGUAUAACAGAUCAAAGCCUGAGGUGGAGAGUUUAAACAAGGCAUAAUUUGUAGUAACAACAAAAUUACAGGGAUUUGUCCCUUCAUCUCCCAGCCCUUGCACCUCAGCCUUGCCACAAAGAACAGUUCUGCUUCCCCGUUCUUCUGCAUCUGUAUUGCUCAGAACAUCCCAUUUUUGGGAGCCAACCUGGGAAGUGUGGCCUGUUGAUACUGAAAGACCAGCCCUGGAACUGUGCAUCAUUGAUGAGUGUGGAGUGGGGAGAACAAAGGGACACACACGUCCAGCUCCAAAUCUGUUUGGGAAAUGAAAAAAUGAACCAUUGUCCAUGCAAUUCCCUUUUGCCAGCAGUCAGACUGUGCAGACUGCUACACUGACUGCAAUCACUACUGAUUUUGAGGGACGAGCACAUGAUUGCUCCUAAGUUUGACCAGCUCCAGGUGUGGUGAUUCCUGAGAUCCCGUUACUGCACUCCAGAGGGAUAACGGCUGCUUCUCCUCCAUGUUCGAGUUGAUAUUAGAUUGACAAGAUCAAGCGACGGCACAACCGUAGACACCUUUAUCUGCUGUAUGCAUAAUCUUUCUCGCUGAACCCCCGCCAAACUCAUCCCCAGGUCUUAUCUUUUCUAAACUGAGUAUUUAUUCAUGUGGGUUUUUAUGUAAACUGCAAAGAGCCUCAUUAAAUGGAAACUUUAACUCAAAAGCUUCAUUAUUAAGGUGGAACAGAGCUCGGAAUGCACAAAGUGAAAUUACCAAGCUUUUGUGUUAUUUUGGGAAGAAAU
Molecule: long non-coding RNA, 3700 nt
Organism: Strigops habroptila (Kakapo)
Lineage: Eukaryota; Metazoa; Chordata; Aves; Psittaciformes; Psittacidae
Exons: 4
Source: RefSeq, a predicted model, not a curated record